RNAcentral lists this ribosomal RNA (513 nucleotides) under uncultured bacterium. RNAcentral describes it as "bacterial SSU rRNA". It matches the Rfam family "Bacterial small subunit ribosomal RNA", at positions 8 to 494 of the family's 1533-position model. The record is from RNAcentral.
AGAGUUUGAUCCUGGCUCAGAGUGAACGCUGGCGGCGUGCUUAACACAUGCAAGUCGAACGCGAAAGGGGAGCAAUCCCCGAGUAGAGUGGCGAACGGGUGAGUAAUGUGUGGGUAAUUUGCCUUUCAGCGGGGGAUAACCCGGGGAAACCUGAGCUAAUACCCCAUAAUGUUGCUUGACCUUCGGAUCGAGUAAUCAAACGAUGGCCUCUGCUUGCAAGCUAUCGCUGAAAGAUGAGCCCACAUCCUAUCACGCUUGUUGGUGGGGUAAUGGCCUACCAAGGCGACGACGGGUAGCCGGCCUGAGAGGGUGUACGGCCACACUGGAACUGAGACACGGUCCAGACUCCUACGGGAGGCAGCAGUGGGGAAUUUUUCGCAAUGGGCGAAAGCCUGACGAAGCAACGCCGCGUGUAGGAUGAAGGCCCUAGCGGUCGUAAACUACUGUCUAGCGGGACGAAAGUAUUCGGAGUGAACAAUUCCGAAUAUUGACUGUACCGCUGGAGGAAGCUCC